This 890-nucleotide long non-coding RNA is filed under the name Homo sapiens (human). RNAcentral describes it as "long intergenic non-protein coding RNA 2235". The record is from RNAcentral. Lineage: Eukaryota; Metazoa; Chordata; Mammalia; Primates; Hominidae.
CACGGCAUGGGCGCCCGCCCACCGGAGGAGCGACUGGAGUUGAUCGGCUGGGCGCUCAGAACCUGGACAACUACCCUCAAUUGGUAACAUAUUUUGGUGAGCCAGCCAGAAGGGCCACUCUCUGGUGAAACUAAAAGGUCCAUGUGGAAGCACCUGACUGCCACCACCUGGUUCAGAAAUUACAAUUUGGGGACAGGAGGAGAGAUACAGGUGGGAAGUCACAGGAACUAAAGUCAAACUAAAGGAAAAUCUGUGGCGAGAAGGUCCAUGAAGUUCUACUGCUAAGGUCCCUGAAGUUGAUCUGGUUCCUCCCGCUUCUGGACUUUUCCUUGGACUCCAUGAGAUAAUCUAAUGUUCUUUCAAUAGUUUCACUCUUGUUGCCCAGGCUGGAGUGCAAUGGUGUGAUUUCAGCUUACUGAAACCUCCACCUCCUAGGUUCAAGAGAUUCUCCUGCCUCAGCUUCCCGAGUAGCUGGAAUUACAGCUUCAGAUCCAAAUGGUAUGCUAGCAUUCUCUUCCUAGCAGUCCACUGUCAAGACUUCACUGUUAGAAGAAGAAUCACACCAGAAUUAAGGUCAAAUGGAUUAUCUUAUUCUUAAUUGCUGAAAAUCACACCUCAUUGAAAUUUGCUUCAUAACUGAACCAUGAAUUUUUCAUCAAACAUACUUUUGUGUUUCUCCUCCUGGCAUUCUUUAUGAGGAACUUCUUUUUGGAGCUCACUGACUUCCUGUUCUAAUUUGGUCCAGUUAUUUUCUAGAAUUGCUACAUGACUGUCAUCCUGGGACAUCCUUCUGUUGGAAUCUGGGAGAGCUUACAACUUUUCAUAUCCUCUCUUCUUCUUUGUGUUUUUCACCCUGAAGUGUACAAAGUCAAAUGAAUUUCCUAGAAAAA